GUCAAGGUCUUGGCCUGGAUCAAGAGGCCAGGCUUGGGAAAUGGGAGGGAAGCUUCCCUUGGCAGCCAGAGCUUAGAGAAACUGAUGAAAAUGAGGGAGGGUUUGGCUACCUUUAUAGCCCGAGCCUCUUAGUCCUACCUAUUGUGCCCUCUCCUCUUAGGAAUGUCUCUGGAUGGAGAGGGACCUUAAUAGCAUUAAUCAGGCUCCUGUCACCUUGACAUCAUUUUGAGAGCCUCACUGGAAUGUCUGAACGUUCAAGGAAACUAUCCGCUUCUUGGCCUUCUCACCACCCAUUGGAGGGUAUUUAGGGUUGGGCAGCUGACCUAGGCACAGGAACUCUGAAAUCCAUAUAGUUCCAGGGUUACUGUUUUAAAGCACUUUUUUUUUUUUUUUUUUUUUUUUUUUUUUUUUUUUUUUUUUUUUUUUUUCCUUUCUAGGGCCUCACCUGAAGCAUAUGGAAGUUCCCAGGCGAGGGGUCUAAUCGGAGCUGUAGCCACCGGCCUACACCACAGCCACAGCAAUGCCAGAUCUGAGCCACAUCUGUGACCUACACCACAGUUCAUGGCAACCCUGGAUCCUUAACCCAUGAGCUAGGCCAGGGAUGGAACCCAAGUCCUUAUGGAUACUAGUUGGGUGCAUUACCGCUGAGCCAUGACCAAAACUCCUACAUUAGAAGCAUUUAGGAGGCCAAUUACAUUAAAGUGUUUCAGAUAUCUACUGUUGCCAAACAUGUCACCCUAGCUCCAUGGUUUAAAUGAUAAAAAUGUUUUAUUAUCCUUUCCAAUGGUCCUGGGGGUUGAGUGAGCUCAGUGAGGUGGUCAUCUCUCAUGGGAUCUCCAUAACUGGUGACAGAUGGUGCCUAGGGCUGGAGUCAUCUCAAAGGCAGCUUCACAUGUCUAGUAUUGAUUCUGGCUGUUGUCUGAGACUGUAGCUGAGACUGUAGCUGAGACUGUCAGCUGGAACACCUACAAGUGGCCUCUCCAUGUGGCCUGGGUUCCUUCACAUUGUGGUAACUCAGUUCCAAGAAUGAGAGCCUGGCGAUGUCUGAGAGUGAGAGUGAGGCAAGAGCUGUAUCACCCUUUAUGAUCUAACCUCUGAAAUCAGAGUCACUUCCACCACAUUCUGUUCUGUGCAGAAAAGUUCACCCAGGUUCAGUGGGAGGGAUACCGAUGCCAUCCCUUGAUCAGAAAGGAGCAAGGUCACGUGGUCAAAUGAAUCUGUGGGAUGAGAACUAUAGUUACAUCCAUCUUUGAAGAAUAUUAUCUGACACAAACCACCAAGAAAGGAAAACUUUUGAAAGGAAAGAAAGAGGCAUUCCUCCUCAGGAUUCAGUGGGAAACCUGAGGUCGAAGAAAUGAGUCCUCACCUAGCAAAGCAACACUCCUGAUGUGGAAAGACAUUCCUAUGCAGGAACACUCCAAGGUGAACUGGACACAGGAUUUUGAAAAAGGGCAGAGCUGAACCAGAAAAGUCCCUGCCUGUUCUUCCAGCCCGGUAAAUCUACAAAGCUUUCAAAAGAGGGCAUAUAGAUGUUCCUGGGGUGGGUCAAAUUAGAGCUGCAGCUUGCUGGCCUACACCACAGCCACGGAAAUGCAAUACAAGCCCUGUCUGCGACCUAUGCUUGUGGCAAAACUGGAUCCUUAACCCACUGAGCAAGGCCAGGGAUCAAACCUGAAUCCUCAUGGGUACUAGUAGGAUUCUUAAUCUGCUGAGCCACAACGGGUACUCCGAGACAGUUUACUUUUCAGUUAGUUCAUGUGCCCCAAGUUAGAACCUCAGUUUCAUUCCUACUUUGCAUUUUUAUGAAUUUUUUCCAGUUUUAUUGAGAUAUAAUUGACAUAAAGCCCUGUAUAAGUUUAAGGUGUUCAGCAUAAUGAUUUGACUUACAUACAUCGUGUAAUGACUACUAGAAGUUUAGUGAUCAUCCAUCAUCUCAUAAGGAUACAAAAUAAAAGAAAAAGAAAAAAA
RNAcentral lists this long non-coding RNA (1968 nucleotides) under Sus scrofa (pig). Its description in RNAcentral is "lncRNA (ENSSSCG00065066868.1)". Lineage: Eukaryota; Metazoa; Chordata; Mammalia; Artiodactyla; Suidae. The record is from RNAcentral.